Molecule: ribosomal RNA, 483 nt
Filed under: uncultured bacterium
Lineage: Bacteria
Description: partial 16S ribosomal RNA
Rfam family: Bacterial small subunit ribosomal RNA
Source: RNAcentral
UUGAACGCUGGCGGCAUGCUUUACACAUGCAAGUCGAACGGCAGCGCGGGCUUCGGCCUGGCGGCGAGUGGCGAACGGGUGAGUAAUACAUCGGAACGUGUCCAGUAGUGGGGGAUAGCUCGGCGAAAGCCGGAUUAAUACCGCAUACGACCUGAGGGUGAAAGCGGGGGAUCUUCGGACCUCGCGCUAUUGGAGCGGCCGAUGGCAGAUUAGCUAGUUGGUGGGGUAAAGGCCUACCAAGGCGACGAUCUGUAGCUGGUCUGAGAGGACGACCAGCCACACUGGGACUGAGACACGGCCCAGACUCCUACGGGAGGCAGCAGUGGGGAAUUUUGGACAAUGGGCGAAAGCCUGAUCCAGCAAUGCCGCGUGUGUGAUGAAGGCCUUCGGGUUGUAAAGCACUUUUGGCGGGAACGAAAAGGACUGUGCCAAUACCACGGUUCGAUGACGGUACCCGCAGAAUAAGCACCGGCUAACUACGUG